GAUUAAGUGUCGUAAGGGCAUUUGGUGGAUGCCUUGGCAUGCACAGGCGAUGAAGGACGUGAUACGCUGCGAUAAGCCGUGGGGAGCUGCGAAUGAGCUUUGAUCCAUGGAUCUCCGAAUGGGGCAACCCACCUUAGAUACUUGGGAAAUCUGUUUGGUUGUCGGAUCUUCGAUCCGACGUUACGGCGAACGAUCGCCGACGGCCUCUGGCCUGUAUGGGUGCCUUGCUCGAUGUUCGGGUUUGGCAGCACUACAGCGCGGUAGCGCGUCGCCGGUCGUCCGGCGCGCCGUCCGCAGGCCUUUGGCCGUGAGGACAUGAACCAAACAGGUUUCCAAGUAUCGUUAAUAAGGUAUCUUACCUUCGAAUACAUAGGGGUAAGAAGCGAACGCAGGGAACUGAAACAUCUAAGUACCUGCAGGAAAGGACAUCAACCGAGACUCCGCAAGUAGUGGCGAGCGAACGCGGACCAGGCCAGUGGCAAUGAGGAAUAAAGCGGAACCAUCUGGAAAGUUGGGCCGUAGCGGGUGACAGCCCCGUACGCGUAGAACACUCAUUGUCCUAGAGUAGGGCGGGACACGAGAAAUCCUGUCUGAACAUGGGGAGACCACUCUCCAAGCCUAAGUACUCGUGCAUGACCGAUAGCGAACAAGUACCGUGAGGGAAAGGUGAAAAGCACCCCGACAAGGGGAGUGAAAUAGAACCUGAAACCGGAUGCCUACAAACAGUCGGAGCCUGAAAGGGUGACGGCGUACCUUUUGUAUAAUGGGUCAACGACUUAGUGUAACAAGCAAGCUUAAGCCGGUAGGUGUAGGCGUAGCGAAAGCGAGUCUGAAUAGGGCGAUUGAGUUUGUUGCAUUAGACCCGAAACCGAGUGAUCUAGCCAUGAGCAGGUUGAAGGUUGGGUAACACCAACUGGAGGACCGAACCCGCAUCUGUUGCAAUAGAUUGGGAUGACUUGUGGCUAGGGGUGAAAGGCCAAUCAAACUCGGAAAUAGCUGGUUCUCCGCGAAAUCUAUUUAGGUAGAGCGUCGAGCGAAUACCCCCGGGGGUAGAGCACUGGAUGGGCUAUGGGGACUCACCGUCUUACUGAUCCUAACCAAACUCCGAAUACCGGGGAGUACUACUCGGCAGACACACGGCGGGUGCUAACGUCCGUCGUGAAAAGGGCAACAACCCUGACCUCCAGCUAAGGUCCCCAAGUCAUGGCUAAGUGGGAAAGGAUGUGAGGAUCCCAAAACAACCAGGAUGUUGGCUUAGAAGCAGCCAUCAUUUAAAGAAAGCGUAACAGCUCACUGGUCUAAAUAAGGGUCUUUGCGCCGAAAAUGUAACGGGGCUGAAGCCAUGCACCGAAGCUGAGGAUGUGUAGCAAUACACGUGGUAGCGGAGCGUUCCGUAAGCCUGUGAAGGGACAGUCGUGAGACAUCCUGGAGGUAUCGGAAGUGCGAAUGUCGACAUGAGUAACGAUAAAGAGGGUGAGAGACCCUCUCGCCGAAAGACCAAGGGUUCCUGCUUAAAGUUAAUCUGAGCAGGGUUAGCCGGCCCCUAAGACGAGGCGGACACGCGUAGUCGAUGGGAACCACGUUAAUAUUCGUGGGCCUGGUGGUAGUGACGGAUUGCUCAACUUGUAAGGUCUUAUUGGAUUGAUCUUGCAGGGACGCGGUUCCAGGAAACAGCUCCACCGUAUAGACCGUACCCGAAACCGACACAGGUGGUCAGGUAGAGUAUACCAAGGCGCUUGAGAGAACUAUGUUGAAGGAACUCGGCAAAUUGCACGCGUAACUUCGGAAGAAGCGUGACCCCAUUUUGGGCAACCAGGAUGGGGUGGCACAGACCAGGGGGUAGCGACUGUUUAUCAAAAACACAGGGCUCUGCGAAGUAGCAAUACGACGUAUAGGGUCUGACGCCUGCCCGGUGCUGGAAGGUUAAAGGGAGAGGUGCAAGCUUUGAACUGAAGCCCCAGUAAACGGCGGCCGUAACUAUAACGGUCCUAAGGUAGCGAAAUUCCUUGUCGGGUAAGUUCCGACCUGCACGAAUGGCGUAACGACUUCCCCGCUGUCUCCAACAUAGACUCAGUGAAAUUGAAUUCCCCGUGAAGAUGCGGGGUUCCUGCGGUCAGACGGAAAGACCCCGUGCACCUUUACUAUAGCUUUACACUUGGCAUUCGUGUCGGCAUGUGUAGGAUAGGUGGUAGGCUUUGAAGCGGGGACGCCAGUUUCCGUGGAGCCAUCCUUGAAAUACCACCCUUAUCGUCUAUGGAUGUCUAACCGCGGUCCGUUAUCCGGAUCCGGGACAGUGUAUGGUGGGUAGUUUGACUGGGGCGGUCGCCUCCGAAAGAGUAACGGAGGCCGCGCGAUGGUGGGCUCAGACCGGUCGGUAAAUCGGUCGUCGAGUGCAAUGGCAUAAGCCCGCCUGACUGCGAGACUGACAAGUCGAGCAGAGACGAAAGUCGGUCAUAGUGAUCCGGUGGUCCCGCGUGGAAGGGCCAUCGCUCAACGGAUAAAAGGUACGCCGGGGAUAACAGGCUGAUGACCCCCAAGAGUCCAUAUCGACGGGGUUGUUUGGCACCUCGAUGUCGGCUCAUCGCAUCCUGGGGCUGGAGCAGGUCCCAAGGGUUUGGCUGUUCGCCAAUUAAAGCGGUACGUGAGCUGGGUUCAGAACGUCGUGAGACAGUUCGGUCCCUAUCUGCCGUGGGUGUAGGAAUAUUGACAGGAUCUGUCCCUAGUACGAGAGGACCGGGAUGGACAUAUCUCUGGUGGACCUGUUGUCCUGCCAAGGGCAUAGCAGGGUAGCUACAUAUGGAAGGGAUAACCGCUGAAGGCAUCUAAGCGGGAAACCCACCUGAAAACGAGUGUUCCCUAUCAGAGCCGUGGAAGACGACCACGUUGAUAGGCCGGGUGUGGAAGUGCAGCAAUGCAUGAAGCUUACCGGUACUAAUAGCUCGAUCGGCUUGAUCGU
This is a ribosomal RNA of Rhizobium gallicum bv. gallicum, 2956 nucleotides long. It matches the Rfam family "Bacterial large subunit ribosomal RNA". The record is from Rfam. Lineage: Bacteria; Pseudomonadati; Pseudomonadota; Alphaproteobacteria; Hyphomicrobiales; Rhizobiaceae.